Rosa chinensis is the source of this 1280-nucleotide long non-coding RNA. RefSeq lists it as uncharacterized. NCBI's taxonomy places the organism in Eukaryota, Viridiplantae, Streptophyta, Magnoliopsida, Rosales, Rosaceae. The transcript is spliced from 5 exons. The record is from RefSeq and is a predicted model, not a curated record.
GGUGAUAGAAGCGAUCCUUUUUCCCUUUCUUCAUUCUUGGCUGAUCUUUGCGUUUCUGUUGUUGAUAGAGUGAAAAGAGACGGAGAGAAUUGCAGAGAAUAGGUGCUGUGUGUUGUGAUCGUGUUUGUUUUCCUUUUAUGGUUUGUUUCGGUGGACGCGACCUUUUUUCUUUCUCUUCGUUUUUGCCUCAGCUCUGCGCUCUUGGGAGAGAGUUGCAGAGAAUAGGAGUUCAUGUUAGUAACGAGAGGGAAGACGAAGAUUGGAAUUAGAUAGAGGAAAGCAGGAGAGUACUUUCUUUGGCGAUUUUGUUUUGUUGGCGAUUUCGGGUUUGUUUGGUCGUCGGUGAAUUAGGGCCUGUCGCUGUUAAUUUGGAUCAGAGGGUCGGUUUUAGAGAGAGAGAGAGAGAGAGAGAGAGAGAGAGAGAGAGAGAGAGAGAGAGAGAGAGAGAGAGAGAGAGAGAGAGAGAAUGGUUGUCGUUCAGAUCCAACAAAAAAAAGAAAAAAGAAGAAGAAAGGUUUGUGGUGUUUGAAGAGAGAGAGAGAGAAGAGGAUUUGGUUUCGACAGUACCGAAUUUGUGGCCUUCGUUUUGGUUUGUUUCUUAUUUUCAGUCAGUUUUUUUUUUCUUUUCUUUUUUCCUAUGUCAUUGUACAUUGUUUUUAACCAGCAAAUUGAUAUAUGUUUGUUGUCUUAGAAGUACGUCUCUUUCUGUUUUGAAAUUGUGAUUGUCCCAAUAUUUUGAUAGCUUGGAGAUUUAUUUGUCUGGUAUGAAUGUGAAACAAGAAUCAUUGACAGAGUUCCAGUGGUGAUCAUGUGCUCAGAGAACAUCCUCAGUUGAAUCGAUAGAAAAGCAGCUUCCAAGAGCCGUACUUGAAAUCAAGAGCCUGGAUGUGUUCUGAUCAUCAUUAACAAGAAAGAAAGAAAGAGGGUGAGGGAGGUGGGGAUUUUGAAGAAGGAUCCCGAGAUCCUGAAGGAGCAGAUUGAUAAGUUGAAUAAACAAAGGAAGGCAGCAUUAAACCAGCGGCAUCAUCCAUGGAAACCUUCAACAAAGAGAAAACAAACUAAAGUGUGAUGACACUUUUUAUGUACAAAGAACUGGAGGAAGCAACUUUUUGCACAACCUCCACAGCUGUUAACUACCAGGCUAACAACCUUUUGGCAACACAUAUGCUAACAGACAUCAUCAUCUAUUUUUAACAAAUACAUCAAGCAAUAAUUGUAAUUAAGUUAGCCUACAACUGUACCUAUUUUUUGCAAGCUGUUCGAACAGCAAAUGUAAGUAU